GGGGAAUAUUGCACAAUGGGCGCAAGCCUGAUGCAGCCAUGCCGCGUGUGUGAAGAAGGCCUUCGGGUUGUAAAGCACUUUCAGCGAGGAGGAAGGGUAGUGUGUUAAUAGCACAUUGCAUUGACGUUACUCGCAGAAGAAGCACCGGCUAACUCCGUGCCAGCAGCCGCGGUAAUACGGAGGGUGCAAGCGUUAAUCGGAAUUACUGGGCGUAAAGCGCACGCAGGCGGUUUGUUAAGUCAGAUGUGAAAUCCCCGCGCUUAACGUGGGAACUGCAUUUGAAACUGGCAAGCUAGAGUCUUGUAGAGGGGGGUAGAAUUCCAGGUGUAGCGGUGAAAUGCGUAGAGAUCUGGAGGAAUACCGGUGGCGAAGGCGGCCCCCUGGACAAAGACUGACGCUCAGGUGCGAAAAGCGU
RNAcentral lists this ribosomal RNA (415 nucleotides) under uncultured bacterium. RNAcentral describes it as "partial 16S ribosomal RNA". It matches the Rfam family "Bacterial small subunit ribosomal RNA", at positions 356 to 762 of the family's 1533-position model. The record is from RNAcentral.